AGAGUUUGAUCCUGGCUCAGAUCGAACGCUGGCGUGCGUGCCUAACACAUGCAAGUCGUGCGGGAAAGUGGGGGCAACUCCAUGAGUACAGCGGCGCACGGGUGAGUAACACGUAGGUAACCUACCUUCGAGACCGGGAUAACAUGUCGAAAGACGGGCUAAUACCAGAUAAGACCGCGGGGGUUGCGACCUCUGAGGUAAAAGGUGGCCUGAGCUUGCAAGCUACCGCUUGAGGAGGCGCGUGCGCGCCAUUAGAUAGCUGGCGGGGUAACGGCCCACCAAGGCAAAGAUGGCUAGCUGGUCUGAGAGGAUGACCAGCCACACUGGGAGUGAGACGCGGCCCAGACUCCUACGGGAGGCAGCAGUGGGGAAUAUUGCGCAAUGGGCGAAAGCCUGACGCAGCGACGCCGCGUGGGUGAUGAAGGCCUUCGGGUCGUAAAGCCCUGUCGGGAGGGACGAAACCUUGGCGACCUAAUACGUCGUCGACUUGACGGUACCUCCGAAGGAAGCACCGGCUAACUCCGUGCCAGCAGCCGCGGUAAUACGGAGGGUGCGAGCGUUGUUCGGAAUCACUGGGCGUAAAGCGCGCGUAGGCGGCCUUGUAAGUCUGGUGUGAAAGCCCGGGGCUUACCCCCGGAAGUGCACUGGAAACUGCAAGGCUAGAGUACCGGAGAGGAAGGUGGAAUUCCUGGUGUAGCGGUGAAAUGCGUAGAUAUCAGGAGGAACACCGGUGGCGAAGGCGGCCUUCUGGACGGAUACUGACGGUGAGACGCGAAAGCGUGGGGAGCAAACAGGAUUAGAUACCCUGGUAGUCCACGCUGUAAACGAUGGGCACUAGGUGUUCGGGGUAUUGACCCCCUGAGUGCCGCAGCUAACGCAUUAAGUGCCCCGCCUGGGGACUACAGCCGCAAGGUUAAAACUCCAAGGAAUAGACGG
RNAcentral lists this ribosomal RNA (936 nucleotides) under uncultured delta proteobacterium. Its description in RNAcentral is "bacterial SSU rRNA". It matches the Rfam family "Bacterial small subunit ribosomal RNA", at positions 8 to 916 of the family's 1533-position model. The record is from RNAcentral. Lineage: Bacteria; Deltaproteobacteria.